UACCUUCCAAUGUCAUUGCUGGUACCAUCACAAGAGAUGGUGACCUUCUCUCCAAGAGAACCAGAGGCUGAGGGAGGCUGAGUCAGAGCAGACUGCGCCCAGGUCCCUGGAAAGAGAGAAGCUCAAAUUGUUACCUUGAACAUAUGCAUAGGAAGAAAAGGAGCACAACAGAACAAGGUCCAGUUCUUUGGAGUAGAGAAAGCAAGAAGAGAACACCAGGAACCUGGAAGAACCAGAGAAAUUGUGGAGAGGGAUUAGAUUGGGAACGCAACCUUCCUCCCUGAAUACUUACACACUUACGAAUUCACCUCUGAACUUCACACACAUGGUUCUGAUGCUGAAGAAGACAGGAAACCUGAAAACACAAUUAAGGAACAGAACAAAACCUAGUUUCCAUGUGGUGUCCAUGAAAGACAAAUACAAAUAGUAUUGCAAAGGAUUUUUAGAGUGAACUGACCUAAAAGUCAGCAUUCACUCACAGAAGCUCAAUCCACAGAUCCAAGAAGUUGAAAAGUCAGCAUGGGAACGUGGAGGAAGCCACACACUGUCUAUAAAAUGUAACAUCCUUCCUUUGAUGAAAACUCUG
Molecule: non-coding RNA, 586 nt
Organism: Heterocephalus glaber (naked mole-rat)
Lineage: Eukaryota; Metazoa; Chordata; Mammalia; Rodentia; Bathyergidae
Source: RefSeq, a predicted model, not a curated record